UCUCUGUUGAGACGAAGCACAGUCCGAAGCCCGUGGAUAUAGUAAUAAUAAUACAUGGUACAGUAUAUCUUAAGAUCGUGCUUAAAACGAAGAAGUGACUCUGAAUACGGGCCCUAGUCUAUUUCUCUUCCGCCAACAGUAAACCAUAAUAUACCUACAGACGUUACAGAUAAUCGAAAAUAAAGAAUAGUGCGGUACUUACAGCGUGGACGUUCUUCCUUAUCGAUAGAAUCUUCGUAGCUGGUUUCCUCCUCAUCAGUGUUUACUCUGCACCAGCCUGCAACGAUGAAAACAAGGAAUAGAUAUGUCCCAGCGCCGUAGGUGGUAGCGAAGCAUAAUGGAAUAUCCUGGCUCGUGUCGCCAAAGACGACUUCGGCCAAUGGAACGAGGCGGCUGAUCUCAGCAAUUCUGUGCUAUUCAGACACUGGAAGGAAAGGGCAAGCAGCUGUGUCAGCCGAAUGAGAUGCAAGAUGAGAUUAAAAAAUCGAAGAGAGACGUCCUUCGUUGAUUUCGUCGACGGCUGCGAGCAAACGAAAAAUAAUAACGACCCGAGCAUGAGCCGUAACCUCGGAAAAGUCAGAUUGUUAAAGAAACACAUUGAGCUAUGUCAAAAGGAAGAUACUAACGAGUAGUCACGGAGUAAAUGAGUGCUGGCUUCAGUUAAAUUAAUUACGCCGAUGGUAAUUACACUUAGCAGCUGAGAGCUACGUGCAUCCUGCGUUAAACGGUGCCAGGCGCUUCUUCUGCAACCCUCCCGGCGCGGCCCUGGAUCGUUAGCGUCCAAGCCAUUGACUGUCUAUACGACAUAUGUACGCAUACCUAUGUGCGAACCCAGCCGUUGGACAUUUGAUAGAAAAGUUCAUGUUUCCCAGAAAAUAAAAUUAAAAGGUGAUCUAUACCUUCUACCAUACGUAACAGGAUGUUACAGUCUCUCCCUGCUCCCCUUUUCACCCCGGGGUCCAUCACUUCGAACAAAGUGAACUGGCAUCAUGGACCGCACACGGUGAACUGGCAACAAUAGUAAUUCUCGCGGCGAGUUACACGGAGGUACAGAGGUAGGUACACAAUGUUGCCUCUCGAAGGGGAAUGGCGGACAUUGGCUGGUCGUUUCCCAAGCCGUGCCCUCGAGGGACUUGGCGAAGAGUCAGUGAUGAAGGCUGGACAAGGGAGGUAGACGGGAGGUGGAAGAACGAAGACACGACACGAUCGGAUAUCUCGGUAGGACGGGAAAGGACUUGGAAGGAAGAUGGAGUAAAGAGGAGUGGACUGGUCUGGGGACUGUUUGUCGGACAUACCUGGGGGCCGCCACCCUGGCGUCUAAUUGCGUGUAAUGCACUCUGGCUUCCCUGGCAGUAGUUGCCGCCAGAAGAGGACGGCGAAAAACUCGGGUCGCGCACCGGCAAAACCCGCGAUCAGGGGACGCCGUGUUAUGUCCGGCACGCUCGGACCCACACGACGUCGACGUGGCCGAUCUUCUCGAUCCUCCCGAUACUUUGACGAAUGCUACCACUUUGGAUGAAGACGUGUUCCCCGUUGGUAGCUCCUCGCGAUACUCGUCGCUACGGUCCGAAAUAGCACUUCGCCAUAUGGGAUUUUUAUUCGAACGUUCUAGAACGUACUGGUCAUUUUUGCGAUGGGGCUUUAUGACCAAACCGGAAAGUGGUCAUUUUUUUAGUGGAUUAUAAUACAGUAGUGGGGCUUCUAGAAUCGGAUUGAAUGUUGAGCUUUUAUUAAUAUUGUUUCUAUGACUGUUUUUGUGAAUUUUCAUAAAAGCGAAAUGAAAUACCUGAAGGUGAGUUCGUCGGGUAUUCGAUGAGGUGGAACGACAGGUCGAGCAUUUAACGUGGCCAGGAUCUGUCGUUAGGAAUUUUUUGUCGCGCCUGGUUAUUAUGAAUAAUGAUUUAUGCCUUGUCUCUCGUGUUCGAGGGACAGAAGAAGGAGUUAAUGACGGUCGCGUGUUGUAAUGCCUGCCAUUAUCUACAAACCUUACCGCCUAACAAGCUACCUGCUAAUGACACACGACUCGCACAUGAUCACAUGCGUGAUCUUAUUUAGUCACAAUUUUUGUCAUUCUAUCCACGAAUUUGGUCAUUUUAAACCAAUGUUACACAUUGAACAAAGUCCGUGAAAAUUGGAUUUACGGACGUUUGAAAAGAUUUUCAAAAAAAAAAAAUUGUAUAAGAAUCAACCUGUUUGAGAAGAAAAAAAUCUAAUUCAUGAAAAAAAACCAUUGUCCGAGGGAUAAGAAUGUGUUCUAAUUAUAACAUACGGAAGUAUCGUUUAAGAAUUUUCAAAAAGCAACGGUGUCUUCAUUCGACCUGUUUUCCAAAAGGGGUGAAUUGGUCAUGGCCUUCUCAAAGAAAAACUAACCCUAAAAAAAACUUUGCCGAAACCAACCGGAAAUACCAGCAUCCGCGGAGGCUAUCGCUGGACAAUGGCAUUGUUCCAGCAAAAGGUGGAUUUCUCUUAAUGGAGGGCUCUCGAAGGGCUGGAUGAAGGAACAAAAAUCGGCUCCGGUAGCCGACCUGACUGGGGUCCAUUCAGAGAUCAGUAUCCACUAUCUCCACGUUAUAUUACUUAUUGGAAAUACUACGUUGGAAUUCGAUUGAUACGUUCGGGAUAUUCAUAACGAAGAAUCGUAGAUACACCUGCGGGAUGAAUCGUGGUGAAACUUUAUGAAUGAGUCUGAGCCGUCCUAAGGGGAUGUUUGGAAAAAGACAAUCCUUCCGGGAAGAGGAUCCAAUCCGUCUCAUUGACUAACAAACAGAUCCCUGUUAAAGUUGGAAAGAUUUUAAUUAUCAUGAUUAUCGAUGGCAUAAAAAGCCAUAAGACCCAAUAUCCGGUCUGAAUACAUAUUACAUAUAACAAAAAUCUACAUCUACAGCAUCUUCCAGAUAACUUUGUUCCAGGAGAUACGCCAUAUGUACAAGACGCCAUUGUCAGACCAUUUCCUCCAGAUCUCGUGGUUAUGCUCUUUUCAUAACCCAGACUCACUGAUAACUCCAUAGCAGGUAUUGCCAUCGGUACCUGAGACACCCGGCUGGGUUUUGACGUUUUUGUCCGUGACAGUCGUAAACCAAUAAUAGAGAGGAGACCGCCUUCGUCCUUAGCUCGGUGGUUCCGCGCCAUCCCACUUUCCAAGCCUUUUUCAGGGCUUUAUUCUCAUUUCAUAAGCGGCUCCUUUAUACGCCAUGUUACUUAUCUCAAAGCAUUAACCAGCUCAUCUCUUUCGGCGUUUACGACGCGGCACGCGGAGAUGCCUCCCACAGUCACAGCCGUGGGAGAUCGUUCGCAGUCGAGUUUAACAUUCGUUUUAAUAGUCGUCAUUUGGGAAUAACCUAGAAAGAAAAAUUAACCCAGGACACGUCAGGUAAUCGAUGGUCGGACGGUGGCUGGAGCAAAAAUAUGAUUGAACGUUAAAAAUAAGGAAUAAACAAAUACUUGAUCUCGGUGUCGAUCCACUGAUUAUUUUGACAAUACAGUUUAUUGAUCCGCCAGAAGAGUCAUCGGCGUUCCGAUUGGCUAGAGGAGCUAUCUGGGUCAUCCGGAGGAGGUCGGAUCGCUUCGAGUUCGUCGAGUUGAGCAACCGGCGUCCGAUGCUUCCCCGAAUUAAUGCCUAUUACAGCACAGGGACAAUCGCUCGAGCGGCAGAAGACAAGUAGGCGGCGAGUCGCACAAAAGGAACUCUGCAAAAGUCAAUCAGUAGCGGAGCAAUUACGCGGCCGAGCGAACGCUCUCGAGCGUGGGUACGUCCUAUCCGCGGGUGGCAAGGAUCCUAGUACACCCGGAGGAGAUGAAAGGAGGUGAAGUUAGUCGAAGGAGCCGCGGAUGACGAGGACAGGGACGAGGGAGAAGGUUUACGAGCCGCGAGAUGACAGGGCACGCGAUGCGAGAGUCGCCACUUCCGCUACUCCUUUCUACAUUGUCCCUUUUGGCAGGAGUUGGCUCUGCUAUCUGUUACGGAGUCGCUAGAAAAAAUUGAUCUGAAUUUCCAAAAAAAAUUUACUCAUAAAAUAUUCGGGAUCGUAAAAAAAUAUAUAUAUACAAAAUCAUACGAUUUUACCGAAAAUUGAUUUUUUAUUGAUUUAAAAAAAAUUUUAUACAUGAUCGGAUUUCAUCGUAACUCAAAGCCAUCUCUAAGCGCUUAACGUUGUACAUGCAGGAUACUAGUUGCUGGCUGCUGGCAAUUACAUCGGGGCCAGUCUCAGAAAAACUAUUUGUAGAUCGGUUGCCAAUUACAUCGGAAGAGACGAAGGUUGGUCUCCAAUUUGCCGUAAACUCAGGAGCAAAGGGCGGAUGUCACCGAAAAGGUGUGGCGAGGGAUUCUUAUUGGAAAUUGUGUUACUAGGAAAAGAGAAAAAAAUUGUCUCUUGUUUUACACGUAUAUCCAUGGUAUAACGUGCCUUAUAGGCCAUAAGACAUAUUUACAUAGACAGAUGUAGCGAGGACCCUUUUUAACGAGAGUCUAUUUAUUGUUUUACUCCGUAAGAAACGCUCUGGUACAUAAUGCAUGGGGUCGUACAGAAUAGAAUCGUCUGGUCAUCAUAGAAAUAGAAUUUUCUAUAGAC
This is a long non-coding RNA of Cephus cinctus (wheat stem sawfly), 4568 nucleotides long. RefSeq lists it as uncharacterized. The transcript has 4 exons. Lineage: Eukaryota; Metazoa; Arthropoda; Insecta; Hymenoptera; Cephidae. The record is from RefSeq and is a predicted model, not a curated record.